Long non-coding RNA from Schistocerca gregaria, 3121 nucleotides. RefSeq lists it as uncharacterized. The record is from RefSeq and is a predicted model, not a curated record. The transcript has 3 exons. NCBI's taxonomy places the organism in Eukaryota, Metazoa, Arthropoda, Insecta, Orthoptera, Acrididae.
AUGUAGUUGCGCCACUUCUAAAUCGAAACGUGUGUUUAUUUCAAGGCUGUAAUUUUGUGGGAUUUCAACGACACCACAUCUAGAAACAGAAAUCAUAUUUAACACGGAGCACAAUGCGCAGGACAGUCUAUCGGCACUAACAGAUUUGACUGGGGCAAACCUUCCUCCCUGAAGUAACCCACGACGUAUGAACUCAGAUUUCGCAAAGUAAAACAUGCCAUUUUCUACCAGUUCACCGGGCCAGUCUUGUCUUCUUGGUCUUCGUUUUGGAUUAAAGUUCAAUGGUUUAACGGUCCCAUCUGAAAAUAAUCCGUGUCGCAAAUGAACACUAUUGUUAAUAUUGUACAUCCGUCGUAAGCCAGGAAAUGGUUUACAGAGUUUCAAUAUUGAGGACUGAAAUGAAGCAAUCUAUUUAUUUAAUUCUGCAUGAAGAACAUACAAGCCAGUCGAUUUUUCUUCCCUACAUGAAAAACAUCUCACAAAGAACAAAUGCGCUUUCAUAUUUACGAAAUCAUGUUGCCCAUCGUAAUUUAUCGGUGGUUAUUUUAGCAAUUGCAUAACUGACUUACAAGUCCCAAACUUUUACACGAACAUUUAACAAAAACAUUACACACAGUAAAAAUUUACAGUUCUUUCAAAUUCAUGAAAGGGCGGAAACAUCUUAAACCAAUACCUACAUGUACCAUCUGUAACAGCGUGCAUAUUAUAUAAUAUGCUCUGCAUGUAGACUAUGAUUCGCUUAAAAUGAAUCACAGGGCAACGAAUUGUAAAGGGAAAGGAAGAUGAUAUGUUUGCAGGAUAUGAAAAUAACUAAUCCUGGGGAACUAAACUUAUACCUGUAAUCACAUAUAUUCUGAAAAUAUAUUUAAUGUGUGUUCCUUUUUCUCUGUAAGGAAAUGCUUUUUCAGUCUUCAUGACCAAUUUCUUCAAAACUUGUUACUGUAUGAUACAUUUUAUAGUCCUGGCCACAUUCAUUGACACUGGCUUUUUGACUUAGAUGGAGGGGGUAUUAAAAACUCACAUCAGUGUCGAUUUUGCUCUAGUUUUAUUUGCCAGCAAGAUUUUGGAGCCAACUAAAUUUGUUCUCAUAGCUACGUAACAUAAUACAGUUACAGAACUAUUGCAGGCCCAGAACAUCUUUGUUGUUAUAAUGUUUAAAGACAUUUCUAUUCAAACCAGUUAAUAGGAGAGGUGGUGUAUCUCUCGAUAACUUUCAACCUAUAUCACUUUCACCUAUAUGCCUAAUAUAAAAAAAAUGAUUGCUGCAUGUAUAACUGCAGAAGCCAACAUUGUUAAUAUACUUAGCUCCUUACCACAUACGUUCAGGUCCAGCCUUUCUACAGUUGAAGUGGUUGAGAGCAUAUCAUAUAGCAGUUUUGGAAAUAUGAAAGAAUCCGUGCACUGCUGUUGUGCCUGAAGCAGUACUGUAUGGAGAUGAUAAUACUUAUCACAUGUGAUACCAACUUUGAAAAUGUGCAACAGUGUGGUGGUAGUGAUGGAGAGAGAGUACAACUGGUUUCACACAACUGCACAACAGAAAAAUGAUAGUAAAACUGAAUAAAUCAUAUCCAGUUUGACUGUUCAGUCAUGGUGAAAAACUAUUUAGCACAUAAAACAAAAGCUAAGCUGAUUUGCGCAUAAAGGAAAAUUAUGUGCAUUAAAGGAAAGCUAAGAAGCUGGUGUCAGUGAAGAAUUACUACUUGUAUAAACAUGAUUUGCAUUAUUCCAUUUUCUCUUGAGUCAUGGAAGACUACUUUUAGUAUGCAGCAACAUUGGAGGCCAAAUAUUUGUGUUUAAAUGAUAAAAGAAAGUAAUCAGCUGCAUUGUAGGACUAAGCACACACAAAACAUGUAGAGACUAUUUCAAACAACUGAACAUAAUAUAGUUCUUUGCAUGUAUAACUGCUUGUCUUUGAUAAAGAAACCAAGUAUGUUUGAUCUAAGGAGGUCAAUGCAAUUAGGCACUGAAUUAACAUUCCUUAUGCUAGGCGGAAAUAACCGAUAACAGCUACAAACAUCUUAAGUCUUAUCUAUUUCAACAAAUAGCUUUAGUGCCUACAUAAUACCAUUAAACAAAUUUAAAAUUGUCGCAAAAUGGGCGAAAAAACAAACAAUUUUAUUCAGCUCAAGAGUUCCAGAAGCAUGACCCAAAUUUCUUAUAUCAAUGAAUAUAAAUAAACGACAGACUGUAUUAAAUAACUAAUUCAUUCUGUGACCUACUUUAUUACUACCUUGUACUUCUUGUCAUUCAGCUAACUAAUUACUUUGUUGGAUUACACUGAAUAUAUGUAAAAUUCUCAAAGGUGAUAAAGUUUUUCUUCUGUAUUCCUUUAAGGAAAAGCAUAAUAUAAAACCAUUUUUGGCAGAUAAAAUUUAAUAUUAUUCAUUUGUCCUGAGUAAAAAUUGUUUCCUUGAAGGUGCAGCAUAACAUAUCACUAUGUGCAACAGACGUACUUUUAAUGUGCCACAGAUACAAUAUGAAAUGUACAUCUUUAAUUGUGGAAGCUCUUAUACAUAUAGAUAAUAGUUGUUUAGACUAUUUUCAGGUAGAACCUGCUUUCAGGUACAACUAAAAAGGUAUUUUUAAUUUAGUUCUAAAAUAUACCUACCCCUGUUUACAGUGCCUGAUAGGGAUCAACCAAUGAGCAACACAUUCAAUUUCUUUCUGAACACAUGUGAGUUAUAAAUGUCCUGUUUUAUGUUGAAAGGAAUCAUGUAGAUGUUAAUACAGGCAGUGUAAACUUAUAUUUUUGUCAGUUUUACAGCUUUGUGUAAGCUCUGCUUCUAGCUCAAGAUUAUGAAUGUUACCAUUUGUCCAAAAAUAUUAUUCUAUUAUUAUAUGAACAGUGUUAUAAUGUAUUUAACUGUAAAUAUCAUGAGUAUCUUUAAACAACACCUACAAGAUGUCUUGUUAAUAUUUUACAAAUCUGCUCACUUUUGUAGCACACCUUUAUCGAGUCCUUGCAGUAUUUUCCCAAAAUAUUAUUCCAUGUAACAGUCAAAUGUAUAAAGUAUGAGAAGAACAUAUCAGUCUACAAAUACAGUAAAAAACUAGGACUUGGUGGAAAGCAUCAAUUUUCUGCCCAUUAAAAUUAAUUACAUACACAGUUCUAUUGAGUUUA